Molecule: ribosomal RNA, 434 nt
Filed under: uncultured bacterium
Lineage: Bacteria
Description: partial 16S ribosomal RNA
Rfam family: Bacterial small subunit ribosomal RNA
Source: RNAcentral
AGCGAACGCUGGCGGCAGGCCUAACACAUGCAAGUCGAACGAACCUUUCGGGGUUAGUGGCGGACGGGUGAGUAACACGUGGGAACGUGCCUUUAGGUUCGGAAUAACUCAGGGAAACUUGUUCUAAUACCGAAUGUGCCCUUCGGGGGAAAGAUUAAUCGCCUUUAGAGCGGCCCGCGUCUGAUUAGCUAGUUGGUUGAGGUAAUGGCUCACCAAGGCGACGAUCAGUAGCUGGUCUGAGAGGAUGAUCAGCCACAUUGGGACUGAGACACGGCCCAAACUCCUACGGGAGGCAGCAGUGGGGAAUCUUGCGCAAUGGGCGAAAGCCUGACGCAGCCAUGCCGCGUGAAUGAUGAAGGUCUUAGGAUUGUAAAAUUCUUUCACCGGGGACGAUAAUGACGGUACCCGGAGAAGAAGCCCCGGCUAACUUCGUG